CGUGUAGGUGGUUCUGUAAGUAGGGCGUGAAAGCUCCUGGCUCAACUGGGAGAGGCCGUUCUAAACUGCAGAGCUAGAGGAUGGUAGAGGGAGGUGGAAUUCCGGGUGUAGCGGUGGAAUGCGCAGAUAUCCGGAGGAACACCAGUGGCGAAAGCGGCCUCCUGGACCAUUCCUGACACUCAGACGCGAAAGCUAGGGUAGCAAACGG
Molecule: ribosomal RNA, 208 nt
Filed under: uncultured Anaerolineaceae bacterium
Lineage: Bacteria; Bacillati; Chloroflexota; Anaerolineae; Anaerolineales; Anaerolineaceae
Description: partial 16S ribosomal RNA
Rfam family: Bacterial small subunit ribosomal RNA
Source: RNAcentral